GAUGAACGCUGGCGGCGUGCCUAAUACAUGCAAGUCGAGCGAACGGACGAGAAGCUUGCUUCUCUGAUGUUAGCGGCGGACGGGUGAGUAACACGUGGAUAACCUACCUAUAAGACUGGGAUAACUUCGGGAAACCGUAGCUAAUACCGGAUAAUAUUUUGAACCGCAUGGUUCAAAAGUGAAAGACGGUCUUGCUGUCACUUAUAGAUGGAUCCGCGCUGCAUUAGCUAGUUGGUAAGGUAACGGCUUACCAAGGCAACGAUGCAUAGCCGACCUGAGAGGGUGAUCGGCCACACUGGAACUGAGACACGGUCCAGACUCCUACGGGAGGCAGCAGUAGGGAAUCUUCCGCAAUGGGCGAAAGCCUGACGGAGCAACGCCGCGUGAGUGAUGAAGGUCUUCGGAUCGUAAAACUCUGUUAUUAGGGAAGAACAUAUGUGUAAGUAACUGUGCACAUCUUGACGGUACCUAAUCAGAAAGCCACGGCUAACUACGUGCCAGCAGCCGCGGUAGUACGUAGGUGGCAAGCGUUAUCCGGAAUUAUUGGGCGUAAAGCGCGCGUAGGCGGUUUUUUAAGUCUGAUGUGAAAGCCCACGGCUCAACCGGGGAGGGUCAUUGGAAACUGGAAAACUUGAGUGCAGAAGAGGAAAGUGGAAUUCCAUGUGUAGCGGUGAAAUGCGCAGAGAUAUGGAGGAACACCAGUGGCGAAGGCGACUUUCUGGUCUGUAACUGACGCUGAUGUGCGAAAGCGUGGGGAUCAAACAGGAUUAGAUACCCUGGUAGUCCACGCCGUAAACGAUGAGUGCUAAGUGUUAGGGGGUUUCCGCCCCUUAGUGCUGCAGCUAACGCAUUAAGCACUCCGCCUGGGGAGUACGACCGCAAGGUUGAAACUCAAAGGAAUUGACGGGGACCCGCACAAGCGGUGGAGCAUGUGGUUUAAUUCGAAGCAACGCGAAGAACCUUACCAAAUCUUGACAUCCUUUGACAACUCUAGAGAUAGAGCCUUCCCCUUCGGGGGACAAAGUGACAGGUGGUGCAUGGUUGUCGUCAGCUCGUGUCGUGAGGUGUUGGGUUAAGUCCCGCAACGAGCGCAACCCUUAAGCUUAGUUGCCAUCAUUAAGUUGGGCACUCUAAGUUGACUGCCGGUGACAAACCGGAGGAAGGUGGGGAUGACGUCAAAUCAUCAUGCCCCUUAUGAUUUGGGCUACACACGUGCUACAAUGGACAAUACAAAGGGCAGCGAAACCGCGAGGUCAAGCAAAUCCCAUAAAGUUGUUCUCAGUUCGGAUUGUAGUCUGCAACUCGACUACAUGAAGCUGGAAUCGCUAGUAAUCGUAGAUCAGCAUGCUACGGUGAAUACGUUCCCGGGUCU
Molecule: ribosomal RNA, 1372 nt
Filed under: uncultured bacterium
Lineage: Bacteria
Description: bacterial SSU rRNA
Rfam family: Bacterial small subunit ribosomal RNA
Source: RNAcentral